This 410-nucleotide ribosomal RNA is filed under the name uncultured microorganism. Its description in RNAcentral is "bacterial SSU rRNA". It matches the Rfam family "Bacterial small subunit ribosomal RNA", at positions 509 to 917 of the family's 1533-position model. The record is from RNAcentral.
CAGCCGCCGCGGUAAUACGGAGGGCGCGAGCGUUGUCCGGAUUCACUGGGCGUAAAGCGGGUGUAGGCGGCCCGUUAAGACAGGUGUGAAAUCCCUGGGCUCAACCUAGGAAUUGCGCUUGUGACUGGCGGGCUCGAGUACGGUAGAGGGGGGUGGAAUUCCUGGUGUAGCAGUGAAAUGCGUAGAGAUCAGGAGGAACACCGAUGGCGAAGGCAGCCCCCUGGGCCUGUACUGACGCUCAUGCACGAAAGCGUGGGGAGCAAACAGGAUUAGAUACCCUGGUAGUCCACGCCCUAAACGAUGGGUACUAGCCGUUUGGUGCGCGAGAGCGCUGAGUGGCGAAGCUAACGCGUGAAGUACCCCGCCUGGGGAGUACGGCCGCAAGGUUGAAACUUAAAGGAAUUGGCGGG